GCGGGUGUAAUUCAGUGGUAGAAUGGCAGCUUCCCAAGCUGUUUAUGGCGGUUCGAUUCCGCUCACCCGCU
Omnitrophica WOR_2 bacterium is the source of this 71-nucleotide non-coding RNA. NCBI's taxonomy places the organism in Bacteria, Pseudomonadati, Candidatus Omnitrophota. The record is from Rfam.